This 74-nucleotide ribosomal RNA is filed under the name Bacteroidales bacterium. Its description in RNAcentral is "partial 16S ribosomal RNA". It matches the Rfam family "Bacterial small subunit ribosomal RNA", at positions 1460 to 1533 of the family's 1533-position model. The record is from RNAcentral. Lineage: Bacteria; Pseudomonadati; Bacteroidota; Bacteroidia; Bacteroidales.
GGUCAAUACUGGUAAUUGGGGCUAAGUCUUAACAAGGUAGCCGUACCGGAAGGUGUGGCUGGAACACCUCCUUU